UACAGAGGGUGCGAGCGUUAAUCGGAAUUACUGGGCGUAAAGCGCGCGUAGGCGGCUCUGCAAGUCGAGUGUGAAAUCCCUAGGCUCAACCUGGGAACUGCAUUCGAGACUGCACGGCUAGAGUAUGGGAGAGGGAAGUGGAAUUUCAGGUGUAGCGGUGAAAUGCGUAGAUAUCUGAAGGAACAUCAGUGGCGAAAGCGACUUCCUGGACCAAUACUGACGCUCAUGUGCGAAAGCGUGGGGAGCAAACAGG
Molecule: ribosomal RNA, 253 nt
Filed under: uncultured prokaryote
Description: partial 16S ribosomal RNA
Rfam family: Bacterial small subunit ribosomal RNA
Source: RNAcentral